RNAcentral lists this transfer RNA (73 nucleotides) under Dreissena polymorpha. It matches the Rfam family "tRNA". Rfam says of the family: Transfer RNA (tRNA) molecules are approximately 80 nucleotides in length. Their secondary structure includes four short double-helical elements and three loops (D, anti-codon, and T loops). Further hydrogen bonds mediate the characteristic L-shaped molecular structure. tRNAs have two regions of fundamental functional importance: the anti-codon, which is responsible for specific mRNA codon recognition, and the 3' end, to which the tRNAs corresponding amino acid is attached (by aminoacyl-tRNA synthetases). tRNAs cope with the degeneracy of the genetic code in two manners: having more than one tRNA (with a specific anti-codon) for a particular amino acid; and 'wobble' base-pairing, i.e. permitting non-standard base-pairing at the 3rd anti-codon position. The record is from Rfam by way of RNAcentral. Lineage: Eukaryota; Metazoa; Mollusca; Bivalvia; Myida; Dreissenidae.
GGGGAAUUAGCUUAAGUGGUAGAGCGCUCGCUUAGCAUGUGAGAGGUACAGGGAUCGAUAUCCUGAUUCACCA